AGCUUUUUAUUUUAUACCUUGUCAUGCAUUAUCGGAGUAAAAUAAUGUCUAUGCUUUUUGUCUUGGUGACGUUACUCUUGGGACUUCAUUUUUUUACAUCAGUUCCCGCUCAGAGACCAACGCCUGUUGUAAAAACUUUGCUGCUCUGAUUAUCACAGAAUAAUGUGUUUCCCCAAAAAUAGUGCAAUGAAAGCAAUCAGAAAUGGAAUCAAAUCGAACAGGA
Molecule: long non-coding RNA, 223 nt
Organism: Aedes aegypti (yellow fever mosquito)
Lineage: Eukaryota; Metazoa; Arthropoda; Insecta; Diptera; Culicidae
Exons: 2
Source: RefSeq, a predicted model, not a curated record